AGAGAGGUAGCUUGCUACUGAUCUUAGCGGCGGACGGGCGAGUAAUGCUUAGGAAUCUGCCUAUUAGUGGGGGACAACAUUUCGAAAGGAAUGCUAAUACCGCAUACGUCCUACGGGAGAAAGCAGGGGAUCUUCGGACCUUGCGCUAAUAGAUGAGCCUAAGUCGGAUUAGCUAGUUGGUGGGGUAAAGGCCUACCAAGGCGACGAUCUGUAGCGGGUCUGAGAGGAUGAUCCGCCACACUGGGACUGAGACACGGCCCAGACUCCUACGGGAGGCAGCAGUGGGGAAUAUUGGACAAUGGGCGCAAGCCUGAUCCAGCCAUGCCGCGUGUGUGAAGAAGGCCUUAUGGUUGUAAAGCACUUUAAGCGAGGAGGAGGCUACUUUAGUUAAUACCUAGAGAUAGUGGACGUUACUCGCAGAAUAAGCACCGGCUAACUCUGUGCCAGCAGCCGCGGUAAUACAGAGGGUGCAAGCGUUAAUCGGAUUUACUGGGCGUAAAGCGCGCGUAGGCGGCUAAUUAAGUCAAAUGUGAAAUCCCCGAGCUUAACUUGGGAAUUGCAUUCGAUACUGGUUAGCUAGAGUGUGGGAGAGGAUGGUAGAAUUCCAGGUGUAGCGGUGAAAUGCGUAGAGAUCUGGAGGAAUACCGAUGGCGAAGGCAGCCAUCUGGCCUAACACUGACGCUGAGGUGCGAAAGCAUGGGGAGCAAACAGGAUUAGAUACCCUGGUAGUCCAUGCCGUAAACGAUGUCUACUAGCCGUUGGGGCCUUUGAGGCUUUAGUGGCGCAGCUAACGCGAUAAGUAGACCGCCUGGGGAGUACGGUCGCAAGACUAAAACUCAAAUGAAUUGACGGGGGCCCGCACAAGCGGUGGAGCAUGUGGUUUAAUUCGAUGCAACGCGAAGAACCUUACCUGGCCUUGACAUAGUAAGAACUUUCCAGAGAUGGAUUGGUGCCUUCGGGAACUUACAUACAGGUGCUGCAUGGCUGUCGUCAGCUCGUGUCGUGAGAUGUUGGGUUAAGUCCCGCAACGAGCGCAACCCUUUUCCUUAUUUGCCAGCGAGUAAUGUCGGGAACUUUAAGGAUACUGCCAGUGACAAACUGAAGGAAGGCGGGGACGACGUCAAGUCAUCAUGGCCCUUACGGCCAGGGCUACCCACGUGCUACAAUGGUCCG
Molecule: ribosomal RNA, 1173 nt
Filed under: Acinetobacter calcoaceticus
Lineage: Bacteria; Pseudomonadati; Pseudomonadota; Gammaproteobacteria; Moraxellales; Moraxellaceae
Description: bacterial SSU rRNA
Rfam family: Bacterial small subunit ribosomal RNA
Source: RNAcentral